GCGGGCGCUCCAGGCCCGGGGGCUGCGGCGGGCGGGGGCGCGUGGCACGGGCGGGGGCUCGCCAGGCCGGAGGGGCGCUCCCGAGGACCCCGCGUCGCCGGCGAGCUUCCCUGCCCGGGGAGGGGUGGGGGGCCGAGCGUGCGCCUCCGCGCGACCCUCCGAGGCCGGGGACGCAGCUGCGCCCGCGGAGGAGCGAGUGGAGGGAGGGAGGAGAGGAGGGAGGGGAGGAGGGAGGGGAGGAGGGAAGCAGGCGAGCGCGCUGUCCGUCCAGGUCCAGGCCCAGGCCCGUGGCGUCGGGGACACCGCGCCGGCCUCGCCCCGUGUGCCUUGUGGGGUCCCGGCCGCAGGCCGCGGCGCAGGUGGGUAUGAAGGGCUCUGAGAGGCCCGCGCUGGAAACCAGGUCGUGUCUGCCCCCCCCCACGCUCGCGAAGCUCUCCCCACCCCACCCCCCGCCCGGUUCAGGCCCCGGGCGCUCCCUUCCCCCACCGCGCUGCCCGCUGAGUCACCUUGCACCGCCCCCCCCCCCCCGCAGGUACGGCCCGACAGGUGAGGUGGGUGGGGCCACGAGGGCGCACGGUGCCCCUCCCGCAGGGCUGGUCCUGGGAUGCCCGGGGCCCAGACGCCCCCCACCGCGGCCCCGCGGAGCUGGCAGGUGCGGCGUGACGUCGCGCCAUCCCCCGCCAGGUCUGUGCCUGGGCUGCUGCGGAGGGCGCGGGCCUGGCCGGGAGGGCUCCCCGACGGCGCCACCGCCGGCCCCACCCCCUCACGGGCCACACUGCGCGCCCACGGCAGGCCAGGUCCACACGGCAGGCCAGGUCCACACGGGCAGUCUCCGGUGGAAACGGGAGAGGAGGUGGCUGGAGGCCGGGCAGGGCGGGGUGACCCCCGAGGGCAGCCUAGGGCUGGGGUGGCCCCUCCCCUUGAGCUGGGACCCGCCGUGGAGGGGGGCCCAGACGACAGCGGGUUUGGCGGGAGAGCGGGGUGCGGGCCCACACCAAAUGGCCGGGGGCCUCAGGACCCCUCCUGUUCCCAGAACCAGAGCACCAGAGCACUGGGGCCGUCUGAAGCCCGGGUGAGCCGAGGGCACCGGGUACACCUGCGGGGAGGGGUGUCCCUGGGAGCGGGAGGAAUGUCAGCGGCGGGGAUGGGACUAGCCCAGGCACAUCCCGCAGGUGAGGACAGCCGAGGACGCGGCGGGGAUGGGACUAGCCUGGGCACAUCCCACGGGUGGCCGGAGGCACCUCCACCUCCACCUCGCAGCCCUCCCGGAUCGCCCUGCGCGCAGAGCCCGGGCCAACCUCUGAUUGGACCAAGGAGCCAAGCCUUGGGGGGAGCACUCAGCGGGUGGGAGGACAAGGAUGGAGAGGGGGGCAGUGGGGAGGGAGGCGAGCUGAGGGGUGCUGGGUUCCUCGGGAAGGAGCACCCCCACCCCAGACCAGCCCAGGGGCUCGGCCUGGUCCGGGCUUCCCCUCCGAGCCCCAGCUCUGUCUUCCCAGGAGCUGUGCCACCUGGCAAGUUGCUUGACCCCCCUGUGCCUGCACUGCCCCCCCAGUGCCCAGGGCACCGUAGUUACAACAGCUUCUCCCAUAAGCGACCGUGA
This 1600-nucleotide long non-coding RNA is filed under the name Canis lupus familiaris (dog). Its description in RNAcentral is "lncRNA (ENSCAFG00845019632.1)". Lineage: Eukaryota; Metazoa; Chordata; Mammalia; Carnivora; Canidae. The record is from RNAcentral.